AUGUGGCCAAUAACAAUGUGCCAAAUAUCCCGACUCCACCCUGGCUCCACCCCUGCCUUACCCUGUGUAAGUCUGUACAUUUUCUCAAUAAAAUGGAAGCGUCCCAGAAACCUCCCUGGAGUCUGCAUGGUGAUUCCACACCUUGCCCUCCCAGUCCAGGUCCCUGAACCUUGUUCUGAGAGCUGGCUCGCUGACGAAAACAACAAAUGGAACCGAGGACUCCCAUAUACUGGGGUAAGCUGUCUCAGUCUCCCUCGUCUGCACCUGCCACGCCGCCUGGGUUGCAGUGCCCACCUGCUCAGGUGCAGUGUCCAGCUCUGCCCUGCACACUGCUUGGCUAAUGAGCUGGGAGCAGACCCAACCUGUACAAGGCCACACGUGAAACGCCACACCAGCUCUCUGCACCUUGGCUCCGGCCUCUGGAAUUUGCAUGCUGUGCCUUGAGAGAAGUGGAUGACAGGUGGCGGCCCCUUCAGUCUCAGUCUUGGAACAAGAAGUCGUGUGGAGCCUUUCAGAGCCCAGAGGAGCUGCGGCCAACUCAAGCCCUCAGGUGAUGCGUUCAAGCGAUCCAUAGUUGACCCCGUAGAAAGUGCGAGUGUGGAGAUUUGAUGCCAUGGCAGCAGUGUCUGUUGACGGUUACCCUAAAAUAUCUGAACCUUGGGGCUGAGGCUUGGAGGCCCAGUGGUGGGUGCUGGAGAAACCAUUCAGACACCAGUGCAAGUAUUAUCACCUUCGGGUGUCCCACCGUGUAGAUAAUAUCUGAUCGUCCUUUAAUUUAUGAGGGUGAUUUAUUGCUACUAAAAU
This 804-nucleotide long non-coding RNA is filed under the name Fukomys damarensis (Damara mole-rat). RNAcentral's name for it is "lncRNA (ENSFDAG00000027654.1)". Lineage: Eukaryota; Metazoa; Chordata; Mammalia; Rodentia; Bathyergidae. The record is from RNAcentral.